This 497-nucleotide ribosomal RNA is filed under the name uncultured bacterium. RNAcentral's name for it is "partial 16S ribosomal RNA". It matches the Rfam family "Bacterial small subunit ribosomal RNA", at positions 28 to 507 of the family's 1533-position model. The record is from RNAcentral.
GAUGAACGCUGGCGGCGUGCCUAAUACAUGCAAGUCGAGCGAACAGACGAGGAGCUUGCUCCUCUGACGUUAGCGGCGGACGGGUGAGUAACACGUGGAUAACCUACCUAUAAGACUGGGAUAACUUCGGGAAACCGGAGCUAAUACCGGAUAAUAUAUUGAACCGCAUGGUUCAAUAGUGAAAGACGGUUUUGCUGUCACUUAUAGAUGGAUCCGCGCCGCAUUAGCUAGUUGGUAAGGUAACGGCUUACCAAGGCAACGAUGCGUAGCCGACCUGAGAGGGUGAUCGGCCACACUGUAACAGAGACGCGGUCCAGACUCCUACGGGAGGCGGCAGUAGGGAAUCUUCCGCAAUGGGCGAAAGCCUGACGGAGCAACGCCGCGUGAGUGAUGAAGGUCUUCGGAUCGUAAAACUCUGUUAUUAGGGAAGAACAAAUGUGUAAGUAACUAUGCACGUCUUGACGGUACCUAAUCAGAAAGCCACGGCUAACUACGUG